This 468-nucleotide ribosomal RNA is filed under the name uncultured bacterium. RNAcentral's name for it is "partial 16S ribosomal RNA". It matches the Rfam family "Bacterial small subunit ribosomal RNA", at positions 28 to 507 of the family's 1533-position model. The record is from RNAcentral.
GACGAACGCUGGCGGCGUGCUUAACACAUGCAAGUCGAACGGUGAAGCUCCAGCUUGCUGGCGUGGAUCAGUGGCGAACGGGUGAGUAACACGUGUGCAACCUCCCCCUGACUCUGGGAUAUGCCCUGGAAACGGCGUCUCAUACUGGAUACGAGAUGGUUCCGCAUGGGCACUUUCUGUAAAGUUCUUCGGUUGGGGAUGGUCUCGCGGCCUCUCAGCUUGUUUGUGAGGUAGUUGCUGACCAAGGCGACGACGGCUAGCCGGCCUGAGAGCGCGACCGGCCACACUGGGACUGAGAGAGGGACCAGACGCCUAUGGGACGCAGUGGUGGGGAAUAUGGCGCAGCGGGCGAGAGCGUGAUGUAACGACCCCGGGUGAGGGAUGACGUCCUACGGGGGGUAAACCUAUUUCUGCAUAGAAGAAGCGAUAGUGACGGUACCUGCAGAAGAAGCACCGGCUAACUACGUG